This is a long non-coding RNA of Centruroides sculpturatus (bark scorpion), 392 nucleotides long. RefSeq lists it as uncharacterized. Lineage: Eukaryota; Metazoa; Arthropoda; Arachnida; Scorpiones; Buthidae. The transcript is spliced from 4 exons. The record is from RefSeq and is a predicted model, not a curated record.
UAAAAAUUUACCUGAUUAUUAUAAUCUAAGGGUUUAUGAUGAUGAUAAUCUAAGUUUAUGAUUAUGAUUUAGGUGUAGCUCCAAUCUGAAAUGAACAAUGAAAAUCAAUUAAUUAUAAAUAGCAGUACAGCAAGAGAAGACUGAAUUAGUCAAUUAUAAUGUGUUCAUGGAAUUAACUUUGUGAGCCUGUAUUUUAGGCCACACUUUUCUUUCAGCUUUAGGUGUUAUAGAAAAUCUAGUCGACUACCUGGAUUAUGUAAAAAAAAAGUUUUCUGCUCUAAGAUUAUCAGCACAAAACCUUUCUCACUGUUGACACCUUCUUUUUGUUAAGGCGUUAUGAAGAAAGUACUAAGUUUAAGUGGUUAUAUUAUUAUUUUUAUCAAAUAUGGAGG